RNAcentral lists this small nucleolar RNA (106 nucleotides) under Citrus sinensis (sweet orange). Its description in RNAcentral is "Plant small nucleolar RNA R71". It matches the Rfam family "Plant small nucleolar RNA R71". Rfam says of the family: R71 is a member of the C/D box family of snoRNAs containing the C (UGAUGA) and D (CUGA) box motifs. Multiple nearly identical copies of this snoRNA have been identified in Arabidopsis, and it is thought to function as a 2'-O-ribose methylation guide for 18S ribosomal RNA. The record is from Rfam by way of RNAcentral. Lineage: Eukaryota; Viridiplantae; Streptophyta; Magnoliopsida; Sapindales; Rutaceae.
UACUUAUGGUGUAGACACUUCAGAAGUAGCCCAUUGAAUCAUUCCCAUGCUUCAAAGAAUUACUCAUCUUCUCUUUGAAUAAAUUCUGAAAUUUCCUUACGAAUUA